GUGGGGAAUUUUGCACAAUGGGGGAAACCCUGAUGCAGCAACGCCGCGUGAGUGAUGAAGGUCUUCGGAUCGUAAAGCUCUGUCAGAGGGGAAGAAUAUUCUACGGUCAAACAUACCGUAGUUCUGACGGUACCCUCAAAGGAAGCACCGGCUAACUCCGUGCCAGCAGCCGCGGUAAGACGGAGGGUGCAAGCGUUAUUCGGAAUCAUUGGGCGUAAAGCGUGUGUAGGCGGCCCUGAAAGUCAGAUGUGAAAGCCCCGAGCUUAACUUGGGAAGUGCAUUUGAAACUACAGGGCUAGAGUAAGGUAGAGGAGGGUGGAAUUCCCAGUGUAGAGGUGAAAUUCGUAGAGAUUGGGAGGAACACCGGCGGCGAAAGCGGCCCUCUGGGCCUUUACUGACGCUGAAACACGAAAGCGUGGGGAGCAAACAGGAUUAGAUACCCCGGUAGUCC
RNAcentral lists this ribosomal RNA (451 nucleotides) under uncultured bacterium. RNAcentral describes it as "bacterial SSU rRNA". It matches the Rfam family "Bacterial small subunit ribosomal RNA", at positions 354 to 796 of the family's 1533-position model. The record is from RNAcentral.